Molecule: ribosomal RNA, 680 nt
Filed under: uncultured Lysobacterales bacterium
Lineage: Bacteria; Pseudomonadati; Pseudomonadota; Gammaproteobacteria; Lysobacterales
Description: bacterial SSU rRNA
Rfam family: Bacterial small subunit ribosomal RNA
Source: RNAcentral
AGUCGAACGGCAGCACAGUAAGAGCUUGCUCUUAUGGGUGGCGAGUGGCGAACGGGUGAGGAAUACAUCGGAAUCUACUCUUUCGUGGGGGAUAACGUAGGGAAACUUACGCUAAUACCGCAUACGACCUACGGGUGAAAGCGGAGGACCUUCGGGCUUCGCGCGGUUGAAUGAGCCGAUGUCGGAUUAGCUAGUUGGCGGGGUAAAGGCCCACCAAGGCGACGAUCCGUAGCUGGUCUGAGAGGAUGAUCAGCCACACUGGAACUGAGACACGGUCCAGACUCCUACGGGAGGCAGCAGCGGGGAAUAUUGGACAAUGGGCGCAAGCCUGAUCCAGCCAUGCCGCGUGGGUGAAGAAGGCCUUCGGGUUGUAAAGCCCUUUUGUUGGGAAAGAAAAGCAGUCGGUUAAUACCCGAUUGUUCUGACGGUACCCGAAGAAUGAGCACCGGCUAACUUCGUGCCAGCAGCCGCGGUAAUACGAAGGGUGCAAGCGUUACUCGGAAUUACUGGGCGUAAAGCGUGCGUAGGUGGUGGUUUAAGUCUGUUGUGAAAGCCCUGGGCUCAACCUGGGAAUUGCAGUGGAUACUGGGUCACUAGAGUGUGGUAGAGGGUAGCGGAAUUCCCGGUGUAGCAGUGAAAUGCGUAGAGAUCGGGAGGAACAUCCGUGGCGAAGGCGGCUA